Molecule: ribosomal RNA, 451 nt
Filed under: uncultured bacterium
Lineage: Bacteria
Description: bacterial SSU rRNA
Rfam family: Bacterial small subunit ribosomal RNA
Source: RNAcentral
CCUACGGGUGGCUGCAGUCGAGGAUCUUCGGCAAUGCGCGCAAGCGCGACCGAGCGACGCCGCGUGGGCGAUGAAGGCCUUCGGGUUGUAAAGCCCUGUCGAGGGGGAGAAAAGCUCGAAAGAGUGUGAUCUAUCCCUGGAGGAAGCUCGGGCUAAGUUCGUGCCAGCAGCCGCGGUAAGACGAACCGAGCGAACGUUGUUCGGAAUCACUGGGCUUAAAGGGUGCGUAGGCGGGCUGCCAAGUUUGGGGUGAAAUCCUCCGGCUCAACCGGGGAAGUGCCUUGAAUACUGGCGGUCUGGAGGGAGGUAGGGGCGUGCGGAACUAACGGUGGAGCGGUGAAAUGCGUUGAUAUCGUUAGGAACUCCGGUGGCGAAGGCGGCACGCUAGACCUUUUCUGACGCUGAGGCACGAAAGCCAGGGGAGCGAACGGGAUUAGAUACCCGGGUAGUC